Molecule: non-coding RNA, 885 nt
Filed under: Conus ebraeus
Lineage: Eukaryota; Metazoa; Mollusca; Gastropoda; Neogastropoda; Conidae
Source: RNAcentral
AUAAAACUUGGCUCUGAUUUUAGGUAUGGCGUGCACUAUGAGAUACACAUGGCUUUUAUGGAAAGAAGUGAGGCGGAAGAUAUAUCAUUAAGCAUUAGUGCAAAACUAUAAUAAUAUAACCUUCUAGGAUGUUAUAGCAAACAUUAUGUCCUGAAAUCCCCACUAACACCAGUGUUGAAGAUUAAGGAAAAAGUGAAAACUUGUAUUAGUUAAGUGAAUAAAAUUUGGUUAAUUUGGUGCCAGCAUCCGCGGUUAAACCAAGAAAUUUAGUCAUUCUUUUACGGUAAAAAGACAGUUAAGCAGGGGAAAAUAGAAUCAUUAGAUCUUCAAUAUAGGAGUAAAAUCUAAAUAUUGGAAGUUAUACCUAACGUGGUUUAUUUAAUAUGCUGAAGCUGUGAUAGCUUUAAGGGAAACUGGGAUUGGAUACCCCAUUAUUUUUAGUCGUAAAUUUAGUUUAAGCUUACCAGAGUACUACGAAUUAAAAGUUUAAAACUCAAAGGGCUUGGCGGUGUUUUAGACCUCUCAGGGGAACCUGUCUCAUAAUCGACAAUCCACGUUAAACCUGACUCUUUGUGGCAGGUCAGCCUGUAUACCGUCGUCGUCAGGUAACUUCUUAAAAUAUAGUAGUUAGCUAGAGAAUUAUAUUAAUUAGAACGUCAGAUCAAGGUGCAGCUAAUAAAAGAGUGAGGAUGGGUUACAAUUACAGAUUUGUAAUUACGGAAAACACUUGAAAUAAGUGUCUUAAAGGAGGACUUGAAAGUAAUUUUGACUAUAUAAACAAAAUGAAUAAGGCUCUGAAACGUGCACACAUCGCCCGUCGCUCUCGUUGAAAAAUGAGAUAAGUCGUAACAUAGUAGGGGUAAUGGAAAUUGUCUCUAGGCUGAA